RNAcentral lists this ribosomal RNA (468 nucleotides) under uncultured bacterium. RNAcentral's name for it is "partial 16S ribosomal RNA". It matches the Rfam family "Bacterial small subunit ribosomal RNA", at positions 28 to 507 of the family's 1533-position model. The record is from RNAcentral.
GACGAACGCUGGCGGCGUGCUUAACACAUGCAAGUCGAACGGAAAGGCCCUGCUUUUGUGGGGUGCUCGAGUGGCGAACUGGUGAGUAACACGUGAGUACCCUGCCCUUGCCUUUGGGAUAACUUCAGGAAACUGGGGCUAAUACCGGAUAGGAGCUCCUGCUGCAUGGUGGGGGUUGGAAAGUUUCGGCGGUUGGGGAUGGACUCGCGGCUUAUCAGCUUGUUGGUUGGGUAGUGGCUUACCAAGGCUUUGACGGGUAGCCGGCCUGAGAGGGUGACCGGCCACAUUGGGACUGAGAUACGGCCCAGACUCCUACGGGAGGCAGCAGUGGGGAAUAUUGCACAAUGGGAGGAAGCCUGAUGCAGCAACGCCGCGUGCGGGAUGACGGCCUUCGGGUUGUAAACCGCUUUCGCCUGUGACGAAGCGUGAGUGACGGUAAUGGGUAAAGAAGCACCGGCUAACUACGUG